RNAcentral lists this ribosomal RNA (1528 nucleotides) under Klebsiella pneumoniae. Its description in RNAcentral is "bacterial SSU rRNA". It matches the Rfam family "Bacterial small subunit ribosomal RNA". Lineage: Bacteria; Pseudomonadati; Pseudomonadota; Gammaproteobacteria; Enterobacterales; Enterobacteriaceae. The record is from RNAcentral.
AGAGUUUGAUCAUGGCUCAGAUUGAACGCUGGCGGCAGGCCUAACACAUGCAAGUCGAGCGGUAGCACAGAGAGCUUGCUCUCGGGUGACGAGCGGCGGACGGGUGAGUAAUGUCUGGGAAACUGCCUGAUGGAGGGGGAUAACUACUGGAAACGGUAGCUAAUACCGCAUAACGUCGCAAGACCAAAGUGGGGGACCUUCGGGCCUCAUGCCAUCAGAUGUGCCCAGAUGGGAUUAGCUAGUAGGUGGGGUAACGGCUCACCUAGGCGACGAUCCCUAGCUGGUCUGAGAGGAUGACCAGCCACACUGGAACUGAGACACGGUCCAGACUCCUACGGGAGGCAGCAGUGGGGAAUAUUGCACAAUGGGCGCAAGCCUGAUGCAGCCAUGCCGCGUGUGUGAAGAAGGCCUUCGGGUUGUAAAGCACUUUCAGCGGGGAGGAAGGCGGUAAGGUUAAUAACCUUGUCGAUUGACGUUACCCGCAGAAGAAGCACCGGCUAACUCCGUGCCAGCAGCCGCGGUAAUACGGAGGGUGCAAGCGUUAAUCGGAAUUACUGGGCGUAAAGCGCACGCAGGCGGUCUGUCAAGUCGGAUGUGAAAUCCCCGGGCUCAACCUGGGAACUGCAUUCGAAACUGGCAGGCUAGAGUCUUGUAGAGGGGGGUAGAAUUCCAGGUGUAGCGGUGAAAUGCGUAGAGAUCUGGAGGAAUACCGGUGGCGAAGGCGGCCCCCUGGACAAAGACUGACGCUCAGGUGCGAAAGCGUGGGGAGCAAACAGGAUUAGAUACCCUGGUAGUCCACGCCGUAAACGAUGUCGAUUUGGAGGUUGUGCCCUUGAGGCGUGGCUUCCGGAGCUAACGCGUUAAAUCGACCGCCUGGGGAGUACGGCCGCAAGGUUAAAACUCAAAUGAAUUGACGGGGGCCCGCACAAGCGGUGGAGCAUGUGGUUUAAUUCGAUGCAACGCGAAGAACCUUACCUGGUCUUGACAUCCACAGAACUUUCCAGAGAUGGAUUGGUGCCUUCGGGAACUGUGAGACAGGUGCUGCAUGGCUGUCGUCAGCUCGUGUUGUGAAAUGUUGGGUUAAGUCCCGCAACGAGCGCAACCCUUAUCCUUUGUUGCCAGCGGUCAGGCCGGGAACUCAAAGGAGACUGCCAGUGAUAAACUGGAGGAAGGUGGGGAUGACGUCAAGUCAUCAUGGCCCUUACGACCAGGGCUACACACGUGCUACAAUGGCAUAUACAAAGAGAAGCGACCUCGCGAGAGCAAGCGGACCUCAUAAAGUAUGUCGUAGUCCGGAUUGGAGUCUGCAACUCGACUCCAUGAAGUCGGAAUCGCUAGUAAUCGUAGAUCAGAAUGCUACGGUGAAUACGUUCCCGGGCCUUGUACACACCGCCCGUCACACCAUGGGAGUGGGUUGCAAAAGAAGUAGGUAGCUUAACCUUCGGGAGGGCGCUUACCACUUUGUGAUUCAUGACUGGGGUGAAGUCGUAACAAGGUAACCGUAGGGGAACCUGCGGUUGGAUCACCU